This 446-nucleotide ribosomal RNA is filed under the name uncultured bacterium. RNAcentral's name for it is "partial 16S ribosomal RNA". It matches the Rfam family "Bacterial small subunit ribosomal RNA", at positions 354 to 796 of the family's 1533-position model. The record is from RNAcentral.
GUAGGGAAUAUUGGACAAUGGGGGGAACCCUGAUCCAGCCAUGCCGCGUGGAGGAAGACUGCCCUCUGGGUUGUAAACUCCUUUUAUAUGGGAAGAACCGUCCUCAUUAAUGAGUGACCUGACGGUACCAUAGGAAUAAGCACCGGCUAACUCCGUGCCAGCAGCCGCGGUAAUACGGAGGGUGCAAGCGUUAUCCGGAUUCACUGGGUUUAAAGGGUGCGUAGGCGGAUAAAUAAGUCAGUGGUGAAAUCAACGGGCUCAACCUGUUAACUGCCAUUGAUACUGUGUAUCUUGAAUAUGAGAGAGGUAGGCGGAAUGUUGCAUGUAGCGGUCAAAUGCUUAGAUAUGCUACGGAACACCGAUUGCGAAGGCAGCUUACUAUUUCGUAAUUGACGCUGAGGCACGAAAGCGUGGGUAGCGAACAGGAUUAGAAACCCGAGUAGUCC